AUAUUUCAACAACCCUCCUCACUUAACUUGCAGAAAAAAAUAAAUAAUCAAUCCACGCCCCCCUUUCUUUUUUAUCUCAUUUGCCAAAGCUCAAUUUAUACAUGCAUCAGUUAGAGAAUUCUUUUGGUAGAGACAAGGAUGAUUGGUUAGCAAGCUUCACCAACGUAACUCUACAUUUAAAGGAGACAGCAAAGCGAGUCCAGAUUCCACAAAAAAAUGCUCCAUUCUCAAAUUUGUCACCGAUUGAUCUCCAUGGACAUGAUUUCCAAUCUCUAGUGGUUACUCAUUUUGUUACCUUCACCAAAUUAUUCAACAAAAUAUCAAAUUCUGUGAGAAUAAUAUGAAGAAUCUUAGAUGAAAAAAUUCUCUCCCAUUUUUCUUGAAUUCAACAUGAGAUAAAACUCCAUGUAAUGCAAAAGAAAGAAUAUUAUUUUCAGCUCUCUAAUUAGAUAUCCUACACGCAAGUGGAUAAUAAAAUCAAGAAGAAAAUAAGAGCACUAAAAGCUAUUUAUGUAUGGAUAAAUAAGAAGCAAUGAUAAUUCUAUAAAAUAAAAAAUAACAUGAGUACAAAUAAUACAAAGGGUUAAGUAUAAUUUUGGUUCUUAUGGUUUAAGCCAAAAAAAUUUUUCAUCUUCAAUCUUUUUUGCAUACAAAAUCGUUCCUAAGGUUUAACGUAGUUUUAGAAUCGUCUUUCAGACAAUUAUACCCUGUUCAAUAUCAUUAUCUCCAUCACAAAGAGAAAAAAGCAGAAACUUAGAGAGAGAAGCAAAAACUCAGAGAGAGAGAGAGAGAGAGAGAGAGAGAGAGAGAGAGAGAGAGAGAGAGAGAGAGAGAGAGAGAGAGAGAGAGAGCCUCGCUGUCACCCUCACCGCACCUCGCCGUCACCGUCUUUUGGCCCUCGCCCUCCCAACGGCAUGACUUGCACUCCAGUCUCGCCGCGACUUGCUCCCUAGCCUCGCUGCAAUUGGCCCUCACCUAACCGCGACACGCCUGGCCUUCGCCCUCAUGUUCCUCGUUGUCGUCGGGGAGGUGGUUGUGGUUGUCGUGUUCCUCGCAUCUUCCAACCGUGUCUCUUCCUCUGGCAAUUAGAUAGUACCUUUAAAAUCAGCCACCAAGAAAAAACGUAACCUUCCAGGAGUGCCAGAUGUUGAGGUGAUUGCUCUGUGUCUAAAGACCCUAUUGGCGACGAACAAAUUUGUGUGCCAAAUCUGCAAUAAGGGUUUUCAACAGGAUCAAAACCUUCAGCUCUAUCGAAGGGAGUCACAAGCAAUUCAUCUGAGUUUUAUUGACUAUUUUUAGUAAUUAGAUUUAUGGAUUUUUUGUUCUUUUAAUUGAAGAUGAAUUUAAAAAUUUCUGAUUAUUAUAAUUGGAU
Arachis stenosperma is the source of this 1372-nucleotide long non-coding RNA. RefSeq lists it as uncharacterized. NCBI's taxonomy places the organism in Eukaryota, Viridiplantae, Streptophyta, Magnoliopsida, Fabales, Fabaceae. The record is from RefSeq and is a predicted model, not a curated record. The transcript is spliced from 3 exons.